RNAcentral lists this small RNA (136 nucleotides) under marine sediment metagenome. Its description in RNAcentral is "Alphaproteobacterial sRNA BjrC1505". It matches the Rfam family "Alphaproteobacterial sRNA BjrC1505". The record is from RNAcentral. RNAcentral also lists the same sequence under 1 other name.
CUUAACUCUUUGUUAGGAGGUGCAGGGUUAAUAUUCACCAUAUCCAGAGUCAUCUGGAUACUGAGUGGCUCCUGUCCACUCUGUUUGACGCCUCCCUGUUAACUUCAAGAGCCGCCUUUGUCGCGGCUCUUUUUUU